AUAACCCCGUCCAGUAGAGCCUGACCAGCAACUGGAAGCGAGUUUUGCGUGGUGUCGGGUGACCGGCCCUGCGAAGCCGACCAAGCUCCGCUCGGUGCCCGCAGCGAGUCCGAAAGCCAUGCUAUUGAGCGUCGAAAGACCCAAUCGUGGGAGCCUUUGCCUUUUGAUGACCAAGGGCCACGCUGCCGCAUUUUUUGGUCUGGUGCAAGCAGUCCUGCCGGCGUCGGUUUGGAACA
Molecule: non-coding RNA, 236 nt
Filed under: Bythopirellula goksoeyrii
Lineage: Bacteria; Pseudomonadati; Planctomycetota; Planctomycetia; Pirellulales; Lacipirellulaceae
Source: RNAcentral